AACUCUCUUUCAUUUUAGUCUCACGAUAGAAAAAAAAAAAUUUCCAGAUCUUUCUCUCCUUCGAUGUUGCUUCUUCUAUCUCUCCGACAACCAUCAGCACCACAUUGUUUCUCCACAGCCGCCCUCCGCCUCUCCACCUCCCGUUCCCUCUAACCCAGUUCACCCAAACCCUAACUCCAUCUCUGCCCGCAUCCACGACGAUUUGGAUCCUCCGCUCUUAUUCUUUUUAAUUCCACUGGAGUUUUAUCAUCUCUGCCUAUUCGACUUAAGUGUAGAGAUGGAGACUCUAAGGAGAAAGAAAGAGCAUUACUCAAGCUUAUUCUUUGCAAUCCUCCUCAACUGCUAGGAAUCAUGACUUCCGGGGACUCGCCCCAGUGAGGGUGAAGAAUUUCACCGAGUCUUUUCAUUUCGGUGGUGAAAAAAUCUGGUAUCGUCAUCAAUGCAAUCAGACUCACAAACGUACAAUCUCUUCCAGAUUUCUCCGUCUUUUCGUUACUUAGUUGUGUGGUGAUGUUUGGUCUUGUAACAAGUGUCACUUGUUGGGUUAGUUAGUGACGAAGACUUCUCCAAAGUCACUGAAGUUAGAUUCUCUCUUGUUGAUGGAACAGGUGGUAUCGAUUAUAAAAGACGGGUGAAUGAAAGUUUUGACACUAGAGAAAUGGAGUCAGUGCAGUGAUUGUACUAUCUCCUGGGUCUUCUUCUCUCACCUUUCUUGGUAAAGUUUGUGUUUUCAAAUAGUUUUUCUCUUGUGAAACAGAGAUGGAACUUAUGUGCGUCUCAAUUGUCAGGUCUCUGGCCUUCUUUGCUGCAGGUUGCUCCCUGAAUGCUGAAGAAUUCGUUAUCUCGAAACUCGGUUUGCCUCGGUGAGUCUCUAGAGAAGCGUGGUAUAAGUCACCUCUUCCCGUUCAGGUUAAAAUCCUUUUCCUGAACAAGCUGAUGAGUCUCUAGAGAAGCGGGGUAUAAGUCACCUCUUCCCGUUCAGGUUAAAAUCCUUUUCCUGAACAAGCUGAUGAGUCUCUAGAGAAGCGGGGUAUAAGUCACCUCUUCCCGUUCAGGUUAAAAUCCUUUUCCUGAACAAGCUGAUGAGUCUCUAGAGAAGCGGGGUAUAAGUCACCUCUUCCCGUUCAGGUUAAAAUCCUUUUCCUGAACAAGCUGAUGAGUCUCUAGAGAAGCGGGGUAUAAGUCACCUCUUCCCGUUCAGGUUAAAAUCCUUUUCCUGAACAAGCUGGUGAGUCUCUAGAGAAGCGUGGUAUAAGUCACCUCUUCCUGUGUUUUGUGUUGUCUGAAGAGGGAUGUGAUAGUUCCUGCACUGCAAAAACGAGACAUCAUAGCUCGUGCAAAGACAUGACCUAGAAAGAAUUUAGCUUUCUGUAUCAUCAAACUCCUCCUGAACAAGCUGUAGACUACUCUGCUUUCAGUUUCAGAUAGAGAAGGCUUUACACGCCAGUAGUCUUCAAGUGCCUUGAAG
Molecule: long non-coding RNA, 1468 nt
Organism: Brassica oleracea var. oleracea
Lineage: Eukaryota; Viridiplantae; Streptophyta; Magnoliopsida; Brassicales; Brassicaceae
Exons: 5
Source: RefSeq, a predicted model, not a curated record